AAAUUGAAGAGUUUGAUCAUGGCUCAGAUUGAACGCUGGCGGCAGGCCUAACACAUGCAAGUCGAACGGUAACAGGAAGCAGCUUGCUGCUUCGCUGACGAGUGGCGGACGGGUGAGUAAUGUCUGGGAAACUGCCUGAUGGAGGGGGAUAACUACUGGAAACGGUAGCUAAUACCGCAUAAUGUCGCAAGACCAAAGAGGGGGACCUUCGGGCCUCUUGCCAUCGGAUGUGCCCAGAUGGGAUUAGCUUGUUGGUGGGGUAACGGCUCACCAAGGCGACGAUCCCUAGCUGGUCUGAGAGGAUGACCAGCCACACUGGAACUGAGACACGGCCCAGACUCCUACGGGAGGCAGCAGUGGGGAAUAUUGCACAAUGGGCGCAAGCCUGAUGCAGCCAUGCCGCGUGUAUGAAGAAGGCCUUCGGGUUGUAAAGUACUUUCAG
This 442-nucleotide ribosomal RNA is filed under the name Escherichia coli. RNAcentral's name for it is "bacterial SSU rRNA". It matches the Rfam family "Bacterial small subunit ribosomal RNA", at positions 1 to 439 of the family's 1533-position model. The record is from RNAcentral. Lineage: Bacteria; Pseudomonadati; Pseudomonadota; Gammaproteobacteria; Enterobacterales; Enterobacteriaceae.